Molecule: ribosomal RNA, 497 nt
Filed under: uncultured bacterium
Lineage: Bacteria
Description: partial 16S ribosomal RNA
Rfam family: Bacterial small subunit ribosomal RNA
Source: RNAcentral
GAUGAACGCUGGCGGCGUGCCUAAUACAUGCAAGUCGAGCGAACGGACGAGAAGCUUGCUUCUCUGAUGUUAGCGGCGGACGGGUGAGUAACACGUGGAUAACCUACCUAUAAGACUGGGAUAACUUCGGGAAACCGUAGCUAAUACCGGAUAAUAUUUUGAACCGCAUGGUUCAAAAGUGAAAGACGGUCUUGCUGUCACUUAUAGAUGGAUCCGCGCUGCAUUAGCUAGUUGGUAAGGUAACGGCUUACCAAGGCAACGAUGCAUAGCCGACCUGAGAGGGUGAUCGGCCAAACUGGAACUUGGACACGGUCCAGACUCCUACGGGAGGCAGCAGUAGGGAAUCUUCCGCAAAGGGCGAAAGCCUGACGGAGCAACGCCGCGUGAGUGAUGAAGGUCUUCGGAUCGUAAAACUCUGUUAUUAGGGAAGAACAUAUGUGUAAGGAACUGUGCACAUCUUGACGGUACCUAAUCAGAAAGCCACGGCUAACUACGUG